RNAcentral lists this RNase P RNA (527 nucleotides) under Candidatus Magasanikbacteria bacterium RIFCSPHIGHO2_01_FULL_41_23. Its description in RNAcentral is "RNase P RNA component class A". It matches the Rfam family "Bacterial RNase P class A". From Rfam's summary of the family: Ribonuclease P (RNase P) is a ubiquitous endoribonuclease, found in archaea, bacteria and eukarya as well as chloroplasts and mitochondria. Its best characterised activity is the generation of mature 5'-ends of tRNAs by cleaving the 5'-leader elements of precursor-tRNAs. RNAcentral also lists the same sequence under 3 other names. The record is from RNAcentral. Lineage: Bacteria; Candidatus Magasanikiibacteriota.
GCUUCUACCAAGAUGAUCGAGCUCCGACGUAAAGUCGAGGUUAGGAAAGUCCGAACUCCGCCCAUUCAAUUGGAAAAGGUAAUGGAUAACAUCCACCUGCGACGCGGUAACGCGGCGUACGGGAUAGUGCCACAGAGACAAUACUAAUCGCGAAGUGAUUAUCCUGAGCGAGGUCGAAGGAUACCCUUCGAUUCACUUCGUUCACUCAGGGUCACCACUUCGUGGUGAAACGUGAAAAGUGUAUGGAUGUUUUUGUCCUCGAGUCAAAAGCUACCAUACUUCUGUUAUGGCAACAUGACAACAUGGCAAACCCUACCUGGAGAAAGAGCAGCGUUUCCCGACUUGUCUGGAUUCGAAAAGUUAGCUCGUUAUUUGAUCCCGAUGGUAACAUCGGGACAAGAGAAAUGAUCAUCAUUCGACUCGCUUCGCUCGCUCAUGAUAAAUCCUUAAUUAUACAGGGACUUGUCCUGAGCGAGACCGAAGGUCGAGUCGAAGGACAAAAUUCGGCUUAUAUGGUAGAAGUAUAA